UCAAUACUCCCUCCGUCCGGAAAUACUUGUCCUAGAAAUGUACAAAAUAGAUGUAUCUAUAAAAUAAGUCUAGAUACAUCAAUAAGUCUAGAUACAUCUAUAAGUCUAGAUACAUCUAUUUUUCUAGAUACAUCUAUUUUUAUAGAUACAUCUAUUUUUAGGAAUCUAUUUUUAGGACAAGUAUUUCCGGACGGAGGGAGUAUAUA
Hordeum vulgare subsp. vulgare (domesticated barley) is the source of this 206-nucleotide non-coding RNA. Lineage: Eukaryota; Viridiplantae; Streptophyta; Magnoliopsida; Poales; Poaceae. The record is from Rfam.